GUUUCCGUAGCGCAGUGGUUAUCACGUUCGUCUGACACGCGAAAGGUCCCCGGUUCGACAACCGGGCGGAAACA
Molecule: transfer RNA, 74 nt
Filed under: Balaenoptera acutorostrata scammoni
Lineage: Eukaryota; Metazoa; Chordata; Mammalia; Artiodactyla; Balaenopteridae
Description: tRNA-Val (GAC) (tRNA-Val-GAC-1-1)
Rfam family: tRNA
About the family: Transfer RNA (tRNA) molecules are approximately 80 nucleotides in length. Their secondary structure includes four short double-helical elements and three loops (D, anti-codon, and T loops). Further hydrogen bonds mediate the characteristic L-shaped molecular structure. tRNAs have two regions of fundamental functional importance: the anti-codon, which is responsible for specific mRNA codon recognition, and the 3' end, to which the tRNAs corresponding amino acid is attached (by aminoacyl-tRNA synthetases). tRNAs cope with the degeneracy of the genetic code in two manners: having more than one tRNA (with a specific anti-codon) for a particular amino acid; and 'wobble' base-pairing, i.e. permitting non-standard base-pairing at the 3rd anti-codon position.
Source: RNAcentral